RNAcentral lists this ribosomal RNA (940 nucleotides) under Allenhyphes flinti. RNAcentral describes it as "eukaryotic LSU rRNA". It matches the Rfam family "Eukaryotic large subunit ribosomal RNA", at positions 1051 to 1895 of the family's 3401-position model. The record is from RNAcentral. Lineage: Eukaryota; Metazoa; Arthropoda; Insecta; Ephemeroptera; Leptohyphidae.
CCUAUUCUCAAACUUUAAAUGGGUGGGAACUGCGGCUUGCUUGAAAGUUGAAGCUCGCAGUUUCGGAUCGGAGUGCCAAGUGGGCCAUUUUUGGUAAGCAGAACUGGCGCUGUGGGAUGAACCAAACGCCGAGUUAAGGCGCCCGAAUAGAUGCUCAUACGAUACCAUGAAAGGUGUUGGUUGCUUAAGACAGCAGGACGGUGGCCAUGGAAGUCGGAAUCCGCUAAGGAGUGUGUAACAACUCACCUGCCGAAGCAACUAGCCCUGAAAAUGGAUGGCGCUGAAGCGUCUUGCCUAUACUCGGCCGCCAGGGCAGAAGGUGGGCGCGUUGCGUCUGCCGCGAGGCCCUGGCGAGUAGGAGGGUCGCGGCGGAGAGCGCAGAAGGGUCUGGGUGCGAACCUGCCUGGAGCCUCCGUCGGUGCAGAUCUUGGUGGUAGUAGCAAAUACUCCAGCGAGGCCCUGGAGGACUGAUGUGGAGAAGGGUUCCGUGUGAACAGCCGUUGCACACGGGUCAGUCGAUCCUAAACCCUAGGAGAAAUCCGAUGUCGAUGGUCGCGGGAUGUAUGUUGCGCUGGGUGUUACAGCUCGGCGACAGUGAUGCUCCCCGUCCGUCGGGUGAAAGGGAAUCCGUUUCCUAUUACGGAACCCAGUUGCGGAACCGCACUCACGAUCCUCGUAUUGACACGGUAACGUUAAGGACCCCAGAGACGCCGUCUGGAGCCCCGGGAAGAGUUUUCUUUUCUGCAUAAGCGUUCGGGUUCCAUGGAAUCCUCUCGCAGGGAGAUAUGGAAUGGAGCGCGAAGAGCACCGCAGUUGCUGCGGUGUCCGGGGAUUCCCGUCGGCCCUUGAAAAUCUGGGCGAGGGUCACGUGGAGGCGUCGCACUGGCUCGUACCCAUAUCCGCAGCAGUCUCCAAGGUCAAGAGCCUCUAGUCGAUAGAC